GAGCGGGAUUGGUAGCAAUACCAUGAGAGCGGCGCACGGGUGAGUAACGCGUACACGACCUACCUCUGACAGGGGGAUAGCCCUGGGAAACUGGGAUUAAUACCGCAUAUUAUUCUGAUUAAUAAAGGAUUGGAAUGAAAGUUCAGGCGGUCAGAGAUGGGUGUGCGUCUGAUUAGCUAGUUGGUAGGGUAACGGCCUACCAAGGCGAUGAUCAGUAGGGGGCGUGAGAGCGUGGUCCCCCACACGGGUACUGAGACACGGACCCGACUCCUACGGGAGGCAGCAGUAAGGAAUAUUGGACAAUGGCCGCAAGGCUGAUCCAGCCAUCCAGCGUGCAGGAAGAAGGCCCUAUGGGUUGUAAACUGCUUUUAUCAGGGAAUAAACCUCUGGAUUCACUCCGGAGCUGAAGGUACCUGAAGAAUAAGCACCGGCUAACUCCGUGCCAGCAGCCGCGGUAAUACGGAGGGUGCGAGCGUUAUCCGGAAUUACUGGGUUUAAAGGGUGCGUAGGCGGCUUUGUAAGUCAGGAGUGAAAGUUUGCAGCUCAACUGUAAAAUUGCUUUUGAUACUGCGAGGCUAGAAUUAGGAUGAGGUCAGCGGAAUGUGGCAUGUAGCGGUGAAAUGCAUAGAUAUGCCAUAGAACACCAAUUGCGAAGGCAGCUGGCUAGACCUGGAUUGACGCUGAGGCACGAAAGCGUGGGGAGCGAACAGGAUUAGAUACCCUGGUAGUCCACGCCCUAAACGAUGCUUACUCGACGUAUGGCACUAGUUGUUGUGCGUCCAAGGGAAACCGUUAAGUAAG
This 801-nucleotide ribosomal RNA is filed under the name uncultured bacterium. RNAcentral describes it as "bacterial SSU rRNA". It matches the Rfam family "Bacterial small subunit ribosomal RNA", at positions 64 to 868 of the family's 1533-position model. The record is from RNAcentral.